This is a non-coding RNA of Lonchura striata (white-rumped munia), 622 nucleotides long. Lineage: Eukaryota; Metazoa; Chordata; Aves; Passeriformes; Estrildidae. The record is from RefSeq and is a predicted model, not a curated record.
AGAGAGCCAACACUUUGGGAAGGACAACUUCCCACCCCAGAGCUGCCUGCUCUGCUCAGGGAGUCCCUGCUGGUCCAAGGGGGUCGGGAGAAGCAGAGAUUUUCCCAGGACUGGGGCUGAGCACUCCUGGACCCUGCCUCAGCCAUGGGAAUUGUGACUCCGGAGCUGCUGAGGCUCGUCCCAGCUUUCCAUGGGGAAAAAUCCCCCAGAAGAAUGGAGUUUUUCCCUGGGAGAGAAAAUCCAUCCCCAAGUCCCUAAGAGGAACCAGAGUGCCGGGAAGCAGCUCUCGGGUGGUCCCGGCCCCGCUGCUGCGCCCAAGGGGAGGAGGGAUGCUGAGGAUCUGGAUCCCCCCGGGAAUCCCGUUCCACCCUCCCGGCACUCGGAUUAUUGAAUGGAGACAGCAAGGAUUAAACCUGCAUUUAAAAGAUAAAUAAAUAAAUUCAAAUAUAUAAACGCAUAUAGUCAACGUAUAGCUACAUAUGUAUACAUUGUAUACAUGUAUACAUAGCUACAUGUAUAAAUGUAAAUACAUAUACAUGAUCUAAAUAAGCAUUCUAAAUGCUUAUUUAUCAUAGAUAAAUAUAUCAAAAUAAAUAGAUGCAUAAAUAUAUCAUGGGAUAUA